RNAcentral lists this ribosomal RNA (253 nucleotides) under uncultured bacterium. RNAcentral's name for it is "partial 16S ribosomal RNA". It matches the Rfam family "Bacterial small subunit ribosomal RNA", at positions 524 to 776 of the family's 1533-position model. The record is from RNAcentral.
UACGAAGGGGGCUAGCGUUGCUCGGAAUCACUGGGCGUAAAGCGCACGUAGGCGGCUUUCUAAGUCAGGGGUGAAAUCCUGGAGCUCAACUCCAGAACUGCCUUUGAUACUGGGAAGCUCGAGUCCGGAAGAGGUGAGUGGAACUGCGAGUGUAGAGGUGAAAUUCGUAGAUAUUCGGAAGAACACCAGUGGCGAAGGCGACACACUGGCCCAAUACUGACGCUGAGGCUCGAAAGCGUGGGGAGCAAACAGG